RNAcentral lists this ribosomal RNA (870 nucleotides) under Mycetocola manganoxydans. Its description in RNAcentral is "bacterial SSU rRNA". It matches the Rfam family "Bacterial small subunit ribosomal RNA", at positions 195 to 1082 of the family's 1533-position model. Lineage: Bacteria; Bacillati; Actinomycetota; Actinomycetes; Micrococcales; Microbacteriaceae. The record is from RNAcentral.
GUUGGUGGAAAGAAUUUUGGUCAAGGAUGGACUCGCGGCCUAUCAGGUAGUUGGUGAGGUAAUGGCUCACCAAGCCUACGACGGGUAGCCGGCCUGAGAGGGUGACCGGCCACACUGGGACUGAGACACGGCCCAGACUCCUACGGGAGGCAGCAGUGGGGAAUAUUGCACAAUGGGCGAAAGCCUGAUGCAGCAACGCCGCGUGAGGGACGACGGCCUUCGGGUUGUAAACCUCUUUUAGCAGGGAAGAAGCGAAAGUGACGGUACCUGCAGAAAAAGCACCGGCUAACUACGUGCCAGCAGCCGCGGUAAUACGUAGGGUGCAAGCGUUGUCCGGAAUUAUUGGGCGUAAAGAGCUCGUAGGCGGUUUGUCGCGUCUGCUGUGAAAACCCGAGGCUCAACCUCGGGCCUGCAGUGGGUACGGGCAGACUAGAGUGCGGUAGGGGAGAUUGGAAUUCCUGGUGUAGCGGUGGAAUGCGCAGAUAUCAGGAGGAACACCGAUGGCGAAGGCAGAUCUCUGGGCCGUUACUGACGCUGAGGAGCGAAAGGGUGGGGAGCAAACAGGCUUAGAUACCCUGGUAGUCCACCCCGUAAACGUUGGGAACUAGAUGUGGGGACCAUUCCACGGUCUCCGUGUCGCAGCUAACGCAUUAAGUUCCCCGCCUGGGGAGUACGGCCGCAAGGCUAAAACUCAGAGGAAUUGACGGGGGCCCGCACAAGCGGCGGAGCAUGCGGAUUAAUUCGAUGCAACGCGAAGAACCUUACCAAGGCUUGACAUAUACCGGAAACGGCCAGAGAUGGUCGCCCCGCAAGGUCGGUAUACAGGUGGUGCAUGGUUGUCGUCAGCUCGUGUCGUGAGAUGUUGGGUUA